ACUAGAAGGAGGCAUUGUUAUUCAAGAAACUAUAUGCAGGUGAUUCAAGGGAAGUAGACGAAGAGGCAAAGGAGUGGGAGCACAAGCUCUUGCAAAAUAGUAUGGACAAAGAGUUGCAUGAACUGAACCGCCGUCUAGAGGAAAAAGAGGUCUCUUUUGCUUGUUUACUUUUUAUGCACUGAAAUUUCUUAGGGGGUUGAGAUUUGUUCUUGUCCAUAACUACAUAGUCCUUGUAUGAAACUGUCUGAAAUGAAGCUACAUAUUUUUCAUUAAGUUUGUUCCCAAUAAUUUUUUUUUUUUUAAGAAAUCAAUAUGGGUCUCUCCCAUUGUAUAACCCAAAACCAAAAGUCUCUAAAACCAGUUUUAAUUUCACUUUUUGCUGAAAAACUAUUAAAAUAAUAAAUAAG
RNAcentral lists this long non-coding RNA (407 nucleotides) under Eutrema salsugineum. RNAcentral describes it as "long non-coding RNA (ESAL_LNC001382)". Lineage: Eukaryota; Viridiplantae; Streptophyta; Magnoliopsida; Brassicales; Brassicaceae. The record is from RNAcentral.